RNAcentral lists this ribosomal RNA (547 nucleotides) under uncultured bacterium. RNAcentral describes it as "bacterial SSU rRNA". It matches the Rfam family "Bacterial small subunit ribosomal RNA", at positions 355 to 896 of the family's 1533-position model. The record is from RNAcentral.
UGGGGAAUAUUGCGCAAUGGGGGCAACCCUGACGCAGCCAUGCCGCGUGAAUGAAGAAGGCCUUCGGGUUGUAAAGUUCUUUCGGUAGCGAGGAAGGCAUUUAGUUUAAUAGACUAGGUGAUUGACGUUAACUACAGAAGAAGCACCGGCUAACUCCGUGCCAGCAGCCGCGGUAAUACGGAGGGUGCGAGCGUUAAUCGGAAUAACUGGGCGUAAAGGGCACGCAGGCGGUGACUUAAGUGAGGUGUGAAAGCCCCGGGCUUAACCUGGGAAUUGCAUUUCAUACUGGGUCGCUAGAGUACUUUAGGGAGGGGUAGAAUUCCACGUGUAGCGGUGAAAUGCGUAGAGAUGUGGAGGAAUACCGAAGGCGAAGGCAGCCCCUUGGGAAUGUACUGACGCUCAUGUGCGAAAGCGUGGGGAGCAAACAGGAUUAGAUACCCUGGUAGUCCACGCUGUAAACGAUGUCGAUUUGGGGGUUGAGCUUUGAGUUUGGCGCCCGUAGCUAACGUGAUAAAUCGACCGCCUGGGGAGUACGGCCGCAAGGUUA